This 478-nucleotide ribosomal RNA is filed under the name uncultured bacterium. Its description in RNAcentral is "partial 16S ribosomal RNA". It matches the Rfam family "Bacterial small subunit ribosomal RNA", at positions 28 to 523 of the family's 1533-position model. The record is from RNAcentral.
GACGAACGCUGGCGGCGUGCUUAACACAUGCAAGUCGAACGGUAAGGCCCUUCGGGGUACACGAGUGGCGAACGGGUGAGUAACACGUGGGUGAUCUGCCCUGCACUUCGGGAUAAGCCUGGGAAACUGGGUCUAAUACCGGAUAGGACCACUGCCUGCAUGGGUGGUGGUGGAAAGCUUUUGCGGUGUGGGAUGGGCCCGCGGCCUAUCAGCUUGUUGGUGGGGUGAUGGCCUACCAAGGCGACGACGGGUAGCCGGCCUGAGAGGGUGACCGGCCGCACUGGGACUGAGAUACGGCCCAGACUCCUACGGGAGGCAGCAGUGGGGAAUAUUGCACAAUGGGCGCAAGCCUGAUGCAGCGACGCCGCGUGGGGGAUGACGGCCUUCGGGUUGUAAACCUCUUUCAGCACCGACGAAGCGCAAGUGACGGUAGGUGCAGAAGAAGGACCGGCCAACUACGUGCCAGCAGCCGCCGUAA